Molecule: long non-coding RNA, 734 nt
Organism: Macadamia integrifolia
Lineage: Eukaryota; Viridiplantae; Streptophyta; Magnoliopsida; Proteales; Proteaceae
Exons: 2
Source: RefSeq, a predicted model, not a curated record
UCCCCCCCCACCCUCCGUGACAGAAAUCAGCCUUUGCGGGUCUAUAGUAUGGUGAAGUAUGCUGCCAUAGCUCGGGGGGAUGCAGAGAUUUUUAUGAAGUUUGCAAAGGCUGGAUACAAAGAGAAGAUAUGGGAUCAUGCGGCUGGUGUUGUCAUCAUACAAGAGGCUGGUGGUGUGGUAACUGAUGCCGGAGGUCGUCCAUUAGACUUUUCUCAGGGUAUAUAUCUAGAAGGCCUUGAUCGAGGCAUUAUUGCUUGCUCUGGUGUUAAACUACAUCAGAAGAUCAUCAGGGCUGUUGAUGCUAGCUGGGACUCCUCUAAUCUAUGAUGUUUAUUGUAUAUUUCCAAUGCAUCAAUGGAGCAGACGAUGUCUUUAUUAUUAACAGGGGGAAGGCAGAUUCUGAAAGGUUUGCUGAUGGAGGUCGAUAACCAUUCUUUCAUGCCUUCACAUUCCUCAGUUACUUGCAGAGAAUGGAGUUAUGAUGACCCACCGAGCUGAAGAUAGUAGGUUAUUCCAUUGAGUCGGUUUUUUUUUUUUCUCCUUUUUUUUUUUUUUGGAUUACCCAGAAGCAUCUUACUCUUUGUCUUUGCUCUGUAAUGCAUGAGUGUGCCAUUUUGCAGAAUUUCUUGAUUCUUCAUGUGUGGCAGUUCCCCAUGGAAUACAAUUAUGAAACGCUAUGUACAUACAUAUAUACAUCAAUAUUCUACUUUACUGAUCCUGAUUGCUUUUUGAAA